Molecule: ribosomal RNA, 237 nt
Filed under: uncultured bacterium
Lineage: Bacteria
Description: partial 16S ribosomal RNA
Rfam family: Bacterial small subunit ribosomal RNA
Source: RNAcentral
CCGGCACGGGUGAGUAACACGUAUCCAACCUGCCGUCUACUCUUGGACAGCCUUCUGAAAGGAAGAUUAAUACAAGAUGGCAUCAUGAGUCCGCAUGUUCACAUGAUUAAAGGUAUUCCGGUAGACGAUGGGGAUGCGUUCCAUUGGAUAGUAGGCGGGGUAACGGCCCACCUAGUCUUCGAUGGAUAGGGGUUCUGAGAGGAAGGUCCCCCACAUUGGAACUGAGACACGGUCCAA